This 468-nucleotide ribosomal RNA is filed under the name uncultured bacterium. Its description in RNAcentral is "partial 16S ribosomal RNA". It matches the Rfam family "Bacterial small subunit ribosomal RNA", at positions 28 to 507 of the family's 1533-position model. The record is from RNAcentral.
GACGAACGCUGGCGGCGUGCUUAACACAUGCAAGUCGAACGGAAAGGCCCUGCUUUUGUGGGGUGCUCGAGUGGCGAACGGGUGAGUAACACGUGAGUAACCUGCCCUUGACUUUGGGAUAACUUCAGGAAACUGGGGCUAAUACCGGAUAGGAGCUCCUGCUGCAUGGUGGGGGUUGGAAAGUUUCGGCGGUUGGGGAUGGACUCGCGGCUUAUCAGCUUGUUGGUGGGGUAGUGGCUUACCAAGGCUUUGACGGGUAGCCGGCCUGAGAGGGUGACCGGCCACAUUGGGCCUGCGAGACGGCCCAGACUCCUACGGUAGGCAGCGGUGGGAAGUAUUGCACAAUGGGCGGAAGCCUGAUGCGACAACGCCGCGUGCGGAAUGACGGCCUUCGGGUUAUGAACCGCUUUCGCCUGUGACGAAGCGUUAGUGACGGUAAUGGGUAAAGAAGCACCGGCUAACUACGUG